GGGUGAGGGGGCUGAAUGAUGUGUUAGGAAUGGAGGUGACACUGAGACUCGCUUCUUUCCUUUUUUGCUUGGCAAAUACGGGGUCAGGGUCUGUGUCACAGCAGGGCAGGCUGAGAUCACAGGCCCCUCACUCCUGUAGGAACCCCUGCAGCCAUGUUGGGUGUUCUCCCUACUCUGCUUGAGGACAGAGUGCAGUCCUGUUCUUCGUAACAGCAGGACAUUUGACGUCAUAGAGAAGGGAUCACGGGAUGUGAUUUAGAAAAGAGAACGAGGGAGGAAGAAAAGGGUCGGGGCCAGGGCUGCAUCACAGUGGCUGCGUUCCUUAGUGACUUGGUGCUGUGAGUCCUGGCUCCUCUGAAGGCCCCUUCCCUGGAACCUGCCAAAGCCAGCAUUCCACACGCAUUGUUCAUUGUCAGCAGGUGGCAGCUAACUGGCCUCAGCCUGUCUGCCAAUUAGCAGAUUUAGGGGUUUUUGGAAACCAGAAGCCAGUGAGCAGCACUGCCACAGGAUGUGGGGACUGAAUCAGACACAAGUGGGUGGCAGGAGCUGGCAAGGUCAGGCACGCUUUUGAGGCUUUGCGUAGACCCACAGACAUUCCGCUUGCGUCCAAUUGUAGGCACUUGAUAGGCAGAGCCACAGGCCUUGCUUUGUUUGUUUUAGUGUCACUUGCAUGGACGUUCAGGAAACAAAAGUUGGAUACCAAUCAAUACAACUGGCUGGGCUUGGAGAUCCAGGAGUCCUGGUUUGAAUCUGAUUCUGCCCCUUCGCAUCCAGGACGUGAAUGACCCAUUGUUCUUGAGGAGAAGGCAUAGAAAUUAAACCAAGAUGCUGGGAGUCUAGGAAGCAGCACCAACAGAGCAGAAAGAAUGUUGCUCCCUGCAUGACCCAGAGGAGGACUUGCCAGCGCCGUUGGAAGGAGCCGCAGGAACCAGCAGCCCCUGCUGCAGCACAGUGAGUGCUCAUGGGCGAAGUGGAUGCAUAUCAAGUCCCUAACACCACAAACCUGGAUGCCAGACUCUAAAGAGACUAAAGGCCCUCUGUCCCACUCCAAUUCCAGCCCAAGGAAAUCUUAAUGCUUAGAAAAGAGACAUGCUGGGAACAUCUCCUGAAUUAUAGCAAACCUUGGAGACGGGCUUUGUGAAGGAGCUUGCUGAGGGAAAUGAUUUGCAAAUUGGGUGCUGUGUGUAUUAUGUGAUAAGCAAGAUUUUCCAGGAUGCAGCCUGAAGCGCAUUCAUACUCGUCAGUCCUCAUGCUCUGACUUUCUGUCUGGAUGAUAUCAAGACGAGCACAAGGACCGGCUGGCAUCAGAGACAUGUGAAUUAAUUAAAGUGUAUCUUAGAUGAAUUCAAUUCCCCUCUGAAUUUCUACCUCUCCUUCCUUUCCUCCCUUUUCUUUUCCUCUUUCUACUUCUCCUCUCUCCCUCCUCUUGCCUUCUUUCUUCUUUCCCUUCCUUUUAUAAGCAGAUAUUAAAGAGCCCUUGUAUACCAAGCAGUAUUCUGGGUGCAGGGGACACAAAGAUCCCCAAAACAUGCCUUUGGUGUCUACAAGCCUGUAUGCUCACUGUGAUAAAUAGGAUGGCACUGAAGGUGACAGUCGCAAAGUACAGACUUCAGAGUCUAAUCUGUGUUUAAUCACUGCUUUGUCCUUUGCUGGGAACAGUCCCCGCUGGGUGAGCUGACCCAUCUCUCUGAGCCUUGUCUCCUUGUUAAAGAGGAGAUGCACCUGCUCACGGUGUAGCGUGACUGCAUUUAGAUGCAGGCAUGUCCGGGACCCAGUAGCAGAGUGUUGGGUUACAAGGAGCACUCAGCUGGCAGCACGUAGGAGUGGGACGCUGGUGACACAAGGAUGUAAGGGUCAUUUGUAAACGCUGAAGCAUUAUGAAAAUGUAAUGGGAGGAGUGGCAAUUGCAUUGGCUGAUAUUUCCAGCACAGUUCCUCAGAAGUCCUGCUCCCUGUGCUCUGCUCAGUAAAUAUUUGAAAGUGGUUGCCUGGUAUCCUGGCUCUGAGCCAGAAGUGCUCUCAGGAAGUGCUGGGGUGGAGAGGGCAGAGGGCUCCCACACACUUAUCUGCAGAGGCUGCUUUCUGAGUUGGUGUGGAAUAAGGAGGAGGCAGAAUAGAUCAGAAACAAGGGCCAGGAUCAGAAGCAGGCAGGGGCCCGAGGCUCCUGGGCAGGAGUAAAAUGGAGGCAGGGGAGGGCUGUGCAGGGGUAGCUUUGGGUACGCUUGAGUUCUUUCCAGUGUCAGCAGUUACCACUGCCACCGCUGGUUCUUGGCAUGUGGAGACAAGGGUGACCACUCUGGCUAACUCACCUUUCAUAGAGUUUUUUUGUUUUUGUUUUUAUUUUUUUAUUAAAUUCCUGAAAAAAAUUUACACAACUUAGAUAUACUUGGUAUGCAGGGAGCCACGCUUUAGUGUCCACAAUCUGAUGCAUUUGGAUACACACACUCGUGCAGUCACUGCCACAGUUGAGGCAGUCUGUGUGUGCUUUGUGUGUGCACAUGUGGUGAGGUCCAAUCUCCCAGCCAGUCCUUACGUGCAGUGCAGAGUAUUGUUCACUAAAGGUAACACAUGUUCAGAGGAUCCCUAGGACUGAUUCAUCCUAUAUAACAGAAACUAAACCAGCUAAGCACCCGCGUGAGCCCUGCCCCUGGCUUCUGAUGAUCACUCUUCCUGUCUUUACUUCUAUGAAUUUGACUAUUUUAGGUGCUUCAUGUAAGUGGAAGUGUGCAGUAUUUCUCUUUUUGUGAUUACCUUGUUUUACUUAGCACGGUGUCCUGAAGAUUUAGCCAAAUUGUCCCAGUGGCAGAACUGUUAAGAGUCCAUUGCAGUCCCAACCCCCGUGGUGAAACUACAAAAGCCAACCCCGCCUCUCAGACAGACAGUUCUAAUCUAAUUUACCCCUUGACAGGCAUCCUGUUCUAACCUAAUCCACAAAUGUCAGCCCCUCCCAAAAAUGUCCUGCCCACUUAAAUAAAGCCUCCUACACAUCAAAAUCAAAUCCUCCAGCACAAACCCACUUUGUUAGAUUUUUCAUGCCACUCCUAGUGGUCCUACCCCUCUAUCUAUCUAUCUAUCUAUCUAUCUAUCAUCUGUCGUCUACCCAUCUAUCAUCUCCCCUUGACCAUCGGCACAGUCUCUAUCCUUAGAGACUUGCCUGCCAUCUCUGCUCCAAUAAAACUUCAUUUUUUGUU
Molecule: long non-coding RNA, 3190 nt
Organism: Chinchilla lanigera (long-tailed chinchilla)
Lineage: Eukaryota; Metazoa; Chordata; Mammalia; Rodentia; Chinchillidae
Exons: 2
Source: RefSeq, a predicted model, not a curated record